AUUGAACGUUGGCGGCAUGCCUUACACAUGCAAGUCGAACGGUAACAGGUCUUCGGAUGCUGACGAGUGGCGAACGGGUGAGUAAUACAUCGGAACGUGCCCAGACGUGGGGGAUAACGAGGCGAAAGCUUUGCUAAUACCGCAUACGAUCUAAGGAUGAAAGCAGGGGACCGCAAGGCCUUGUGCGUUUGGAGCGGCCGAUGGCAGAUUAGGUAGUUGGUGGGAUAAAAGCUUACCAAGCCGACGAUCUGUAGCUGGUCUGAGAGGACGACCAGCCACACUGGGACUGAGACACGGCCCAGACUCCUACGGGAGGCAGCAGUGGGGAAUUUUGGACAAUGGGCGAAAGCCUGAUCCAGCAAUGCCGCGUGCAGGAUGAAGGCCUUCGGGUUGUAAACUGCUUUUGUACGGAACGAAAAGGCUCUGGCUAAUACCUGGGGCACAUGACGGUACCGUAAGAAUAAGCACCGGCUAACUACGUG
Molecule: ribosomal RNA, 482 nt
Filed under: uncultured bacterium
Lineage: Bacteria
Description: partial 16S ribosomal RNA
Rfam family: Bacterial small subunit ribosomal RNA
Source: RNAcentral